This 443-nucleotide ribosomal RNA is filed under the name uncultured bacterium. Its description in RNAcentral is "partial 16S ribosomal RNA". It matches the Rfam family "Bacterial small subunit ribosomal RNA", at positions 338 to 795 of the family's 1533-position model. The record is from RNAcentral.
CCUACGGGAGGCAGCAGUGGGGAAUAUUGGACAAUGGGGGGAACCCUGAUCCAGCGACGCCGCGUGAGUGAAGAAGUAUUUCGGUAUGUAAAGCUCUAUCAGAAGGGAAGAAAGAAAUGACGGUACCUGACUAAGAAGCCUCGGCUAACUACGUGCCAGCAGCCGCGGUAAUACGUAGGGGGCAAGCGUUAUCCGGAUUUACUGGGGGGAAAGGGAGCGUAGACGGUUACGCAAGUCUGGAGUGAAAGGCGGGGGCCCAACCCCCGGACUGCUAUGGAAACUGUAUAACUGGAGUGCAGGAGAGGUAAGUGGAAUUCCUAGGGUAGCGGUGGAAUGCGUAGAUAUUAGGAGGAACACCAGUGGCGAAGGCGGCUUACUGGACUGUAACUGACGUUGAGGCUCGAAAGCGUGGGGAGCAAACAGGAUUAGAUACCCCUGUAGUC